CACAAAAAUGGUCAGAGGUCUGGAGCACUUCUGCUAUGAAGAGAGGCUUAGAAGGGAAGGCUCUGGAGACAGCUUAUAGCAGCCUUCCAUUCCCUAAAGG
Corvus hawaiiensis (hawaiian crow) is the source of this 100-nucleotide long non-coding RNA. RefSeq lists it as uncharacterized. The record is from RefSeq and is a predicted model, not a curated record. NCBI's taxonomy places the organism in Eukaryota, Metazoa, Chordata, Aves, Passeriformes, Corvidae. The transcript is spliced from 3 exons.